UUAAAUUGAUAGAAUAAAAACCUCAAAGCCUUGGAAAUUCGGUUACAGCAAAUUGACUCUAGGAGAUUAGUUCCUCUUCAUGAUCGCACAAAAACAAAAAGUUAUCGUGAAUAAUGUAUGAUUGCCACAGUAUCGCGGCUGCCCUUUUAAACAGAAUAAGGGUUUCACUAAUAAUUCAAACUGGGCCGGAAAACCUAAAUUCG
This 203-nucleotide long non-coding RNA is filed under the name Lathyrus oleraceus (garden pea). Its description in RNAcentral is "Pisum sativum (pea) long non-coding RNA (PSAT_LNC037714)". Lineage: Eukaryota; Viridiplantae; Streptophyta; Magnoliopsida; Fabales; Fabaceae. The record is from RNAcentral.